UACGUAGGGGCCUAGCGUUGUCCGGAUUUAUUGGGCGUAAAGAGCUCGUAGGCGGUUCGGUAAGUCAGGUGUGAAAUCUCCACGCUCAACGUGGAGGCGCCACCUGAAACUGCCGUGACUCGAGUCCGGUAGGGGAGUGUGGAAUUCCUGGUGUAGCGGUGAAAUGCGUAGAUAUCUGGAGGAACACCGGUGGCGAAGGCGGCAUCCUGGACCGGUAUUGACGCUGAGGCGCGAAAGCCAGGGGAGCAAACGGG
Molecule: ribosomal RNA, 254 nt
Filed under: uncultured bacterium
Lineage: Bacteria
Description: partial 16S ribosomal RNA
Rfam family: Bacterial small subunit ribosomal RNA
Source: RNAcentral